GACUUGCUAACCAUAAAAGGUUAGAUAUCAAUCUCUCUGAAGUGGCAAGCAGCAGGUUGAAGAUCGCUCGGAAGCGAGCAGGAGUGGACGCGAGAGAUUCUAGCUUCUGUACACAGUAACCGUGUGUGGGAGACUCUAUUUCAGGACCCUCAACCGCGGAGGGAUGAUGGUGGGACUUGAUAAGGCUCAGUUGGCCUUACAAAAGACAAGGAAUGUCGGGGACUGAUUCUAACCCUGAUAGUGCCUGCCGCAAGAGGGGAAAUUGAUGAUUGGAAUUUUUAGACAUCUUCAUUAGUUCCGGAAAAUAGGUUUCCUAUCGUUGAGGAACCUACAAACACUGUAUAUAAUAAAAAAUCAAGCCGCCAUCUCGUUCUCUUCGAGAGAUAUCGUGUACACUACAGAUAGAUCGACGAACAGACUGACCUGAUUGUGUGAAGUUGAAAUCUUUCGGUUCGUGCCAGUUUUGACCUCGGCGUCAGCAAAUUGAAGAAAUAGUCAUUUGUAUACCGACUAACGAUGGGCGUAUGUCUCUCGUAAUCGAAGGCCUCGUUGAAUGUGCCAACUCCUUCGAAACUAUGUGCAAGUGAUGUAAUCCGCGAUACCGUUCGAGCGGCGGCACGGCAGGCAGAGGUGGUGUGCGGUGGUCACAUUUCAUGUCUUCCAAUCCGACCCGACAGAGAGAGUUGGGACACUCGCGCGAGUUACGUAAAUCUUUAGUAAGCGAACGGAUUGAAUAACCAGCUCUCGAAGAUCAGGUUUUAUUAUUAUUAUUGUGGGCGAAACACUUCUACGGACAACCAGCGAGCAAACGAGCGUUUAGCGUUUGUUGGCGGAUCGAAUGUCAUAUUCGCCGCUUCAAGAGCGGUGCCUGUACCAGUAUUAAAAUAAUUCCUGAACC
This is a long non-coding RNA of Leptinotarsa decemlineata (Colorado potato beetle), 898 nucleotides long. The record is from RefSeq and is a predicted model, not a curated record. Lineage: Eukaryota; Metazoa; Arthropoda; Insecta; Coleoptera; Chrysomelidae.